GACGAACGCUGGCGGCGUGCUUAACACAUGCAAGUCGAACGGAAAGGCCCUGCUUUUGCGGGGUGCUCGAGUGGCGAACGGGUGAGUAACACGUGAGUAACAUGUCCUUGACUUUGGGAUAACUUCAGGAAACAGGGGAUAAUACCGGAUAGGAGCUCCUGCUGCAUGGUGGGGGUUGGAAAGAUUCGGCGGUUGGGGAUGGACUAGCGGCUUAUCAGCUUGUUGGUGGGGUAGUGGCUUACCAAGGCUUUGACGGGUAGCCGGCCUGAGAGGGUGACCGGCCACAUUGGGACUGAGAUACGGCCCAGACUCCUACGGGAGGCAGCAGUGGGGAAUAUUGCACAAUGGGCGGAAGCCUGAUGCAGCAACGCCGCGUGCGGGAUGACGGCCUUCGGGUUGUAAACCGCUUUCGCCUGUGACGAAGCGUGAGUGACGGUAAUGGGUAAAGAAGCACCGGCUAACUACGUG
Molecule: ribosomal RNA, 468 nt
Filed under: uncultured bacterium
Lineage: Bacteria
Description: partial 16S ribosomal RNA
Rfam family: Bacterial small subunit ribosomal RNA
Source: RNAcentral